UCUGCGACGCAGCUAACGCACUAAGUGCCCCGCCUGGGGAGUACGAUCGCAAGACUAAAACUCAAAGGAAUCGACGGGGCCCCGCACAAGCAGCGGAGCAUGCGGCUUAAUUCGACGCAACGCGAAGAACCUUACCAAGGCUUGACAUAUACAGGAAUAUGGCAGAGAUGUCAUAGCCGCAAGGUCUGUAUACAGGUGGUGCAUGGUCGUCGUCAGCUCGUGUCGUGAGAUGUUGGGUUAAGUCCCGCAACGAGCGCAACCCUCGUUCUGUGUUGCCAGCAUUUAGUUGGGGACUCACAGGAGACUGCCGGGGUCAACUCGGAGGAAGGUGGGGAUGACGUCAAAUCAUCAUGCCCCUUAUGUCUUGGGCUGCACGCAUGCUACAAUGGCUGGUACAAAGGGCUGCAAUACUGCAAAGUGGAGCGAAUCCCAAAAAGCCAGUCUCAGUUCGGAUUGGGGUCUGCAACUCGACCCCAUGAAGUCGGAGUUGCUAGUAAUCGUAGAUCAGCAACGCUACGGUGAAUACGUUCCCGGGGCUUGUACACACCGCCCGUCACAUCACGAAAGUCGUAACACCCGAAGUCAGUGGCCCAACCGUAAGGG
This 603-nucleotide ribosomal RNA is filed under the name uncultured Actinomycetes bacterium. Its description in RNAcentral is "bacterial SSU rRNA". It matches the Rfam family "Bacterial small subunit ribosomal RNA", at positions 840 to 1447 of the family's 1533-position model. The record is from RNAcentral. Lineage: Bacteria; Bacillati; Actinomycetota; Actinomycetes.